GGAGGGAGCAGUGGAGACAGCAGCAGAGACAGUGGAGGCAGCAGAAGGCAUCACUGGACAGCAGAGAUGUGUGUGAGCCAUCUCCUCAAAAAGUAAUGCGUGUAGAAACCAUCAAGGUGACAAAGAAGCCUAAACUGAAGAGGCAGAAACAUCAAGACCCACAGCCCACGUCCCAGCUCACCAUGAAGUUUUAUUUAGACUUACUUAAGAACGACAAUGCAAGUGUGAGCCGGUCACCUCCAGAAAAAAGGGAGCACAUGGCCAACAAAAUCAGAGACCAACAACUGGGGCCAGAUGGCUUAAAG
Puntigrus tetrazona (Sumatra barb) is the source of this 305-nucleotide long non-coding RNA. RefSeq lists it as uncharacterized. The record is from RefSeq and is a predicted model, not a curated record. The transcript is spliced from 3 exons. NCBI's taxonomy places the organism in Eukaryota, Metazoa, Chordata, Actinopteri, Cypriniformes, Cyprinidae.